This 468-nucleotide ribosomal RNA is filed under the name uncultured bacterium. RNAcentral describes it as "partial 16S ribosomal RNA". It matches the Rfam family "Bacterial small subunit ribosomal RNA", at positions 28 to 507 of the family's 1533-position model. The record is from RNAcentral.
GACGAACGCUGGCGGCGUGCUUAACACAUGCAAGUCGAACGGAAAGGCCCUGCUUUUGUGGGGUGCUCGAGUGGCGAACGGGUGAGUAACACGUGAGUAACCUGUCCUUGACUUUGGGAUAACUUCAGGAAACUGGGGCUAAUACCGGAUAGGAGCUCCUGCUGCAUGGUGGGGGUUGGUAAGUUUCGGCGGUUGGGGAUGGAUUCGCGGCUUAUCAGCUUGUUGGUGGGGUAGUGGCUUACCAAGGCUUUGACGGGUAGCCGGCCUGAGAGGGUGACCGGCCACAUUGGGACUGAGGUACGGCCCAGACUCCUACGGGCGGCAGCAGUGGGGAAUAUUGCGCAAUGGGCGGAAGCCUGAUGCAGCAACGCCGCGUGCGGAAUGACGGCCUUCGGGUUGUAAACCGCUUUCGCCUGUGACGAAGCGUGAGUGACGGUAAUGGGUAAAGAAGCACCGGCUAACUACGUG